This 2297-nucleotide long non-coding RNA is filed under the name Ananas comosus (pineapple). RNAcentral's name for it is "long non-coding RNA (ACOM_LNC010779)". The record is from RNAcentral. Lineage: Eukaryota; Viridiplantae; Streptophyta; Magnoliopsida; Poales; Bromeliaceae.
UAUAUAUGGUCCCGCUACUAUACUAUUAUGAGUACGAUCGCCCUCGUACUCAUAAGUUGUUUUCGAUGAUAGAGCUUCCAAAUCAACGAUCCACACCGUUAAACGUUAUUUACAGUAUUUAAAAUUUUUAAAAAUCAAAUUUUAUAAUUUUUCGACAUCAUUUACCUUACGAUCAAGAGGUCACAAAUUUGACAAUUUUUAACGGCCGAUAUGGAAUACUUGCUAGUUUAACGGUGUAAAAGAAUCGAAAUUUGUUGAAUUUUUGAUAGAAAAUUUUAUUCACUACAUAGAUAAAGAUCAAUAACUCCGAUCUUGAAUUAAAGGAUCCGAUCAUCCUUUUUUAGGAUGUCGUUCGAUUUUGACCGUUCAUUUUAUGCCCACUUGAUGGACUUUAUUAUGAUUUCGAAAAUUUACGAAAUUUAUUUUCUAGAAGUUUUAAAUACUCUAGAUCAUAUUUAACGGAGUGGAUCGUCGAUUCGGAAGCUCCAUCAUUGAAAACAACUUAUGAGUACGAGAACUCCAAUACUCAUAAUAGUAUAGUAGCCAUGGCAUAUAUAUAUAUAGAAUUAGGCUGGAAUGCUAUUGAUAGCAAAAGAUGCUUUUUGCUAUCAAGUUUUUAACCCUUAGAUGAGAAAUUGUAGAGUCAGGAUGAUAUUAGUUAGUUAGGAUUGAGUGGUCCCCUAGGGUUGAGAGGUUCCCACUGGGUUAUAAUAUUUAAUUCAAUGGUUAGAAAUAAUGAAAGGAGUUGAUCCAAAGGCUAAAAACUUGGUAGCAAAAAAAAAGCCUUUUGCUAUCAAUAGUAUUUUGGCCCAACUAUAUAUAUAUAUAUAGAGUCCGGCUACUAUGCUAUCGGUAGCACGGAGCGCUCCGUGCUACCAAGUUGUUUUCGAUGAUGCGGCUUCCAAAUCGACGAUCGGCUCCGUUAGACUUGAUCUACACUAUUAAAAGUAUUUGGAAACUAAAUUUCAGAUUUUUUCGACAUCAUUUGACACGUGAUCAAAAGAUCUCAAAAUUAAUAAUUUUAAAGGCCGAUGUGGUGUGUUUGUGAGUUUAACGGUGUAAAACAAUCCAAAUGCGAUGAAAAUUUUAUAGAAAAUUUUUUUCACUAUUUAGAGUAAGAUCAGUAUAUCUGAUCUUGAAUUUAAAUCUUUUAUCAUCAUUUUUCAUGAGAUUUUUAUUUUCAGCCGUUCAAUUUUAGACUACUUGUUUGAUAGGUAAAUGAUAUCGAAAAAUUAUGAAAUUUAGUUUCUAAAUACUUUCAAUAGUGUAGAUCAUAGUGGGCUGGGUCGUUACAUUUGGUAUCAGAGCCGGUUCACCAGCUGGACAUGUGUGGCGAGUCUCGGCUGAGCCAGGGUCUGGAUGACGGGCUAGCGAGACGAGUCUCACAUCGCCUGGUGGUGAUCUUGGGCUGAGUGUGUGAUUGGACUGACGAGGACGUCAGGGCCUUAACGGGGGGAGUCUGUGACACCCCAAUAGUCCCACAUCGGAUGGGAAUGGGGUUGUCAUUGGGUUUAUAAGAGACUUAAACACUAGUAAUAAUAACUGGGCUUAAGCAUUUUGGGCCGGUGGUUUGGGCCCAACGAGUUAUUGUUGCUAGUGGGUUGGGUCGUUACAUUUGGUAUCAGAGCCGGUUCACCAGCUGGACAUGUGUGGCGAGUCUCGGCUGAGCCAGGGUCUGGAUGACGGGCUAGCGAGACGAGUCUCACAUAGCCUGGUGAUCUUGGGCUGUGUGUGUUUGGACUGACGAGGACGUCAGGGCCUUAACGGGGGGAGUCUGUGACACCCCAUUAGUCCCACAUCGGAUGGGAAUGGGGUUGUCAUUGGGUUUAUAAGAGACUUAGACACUAGUAAUAAUAACUGGGCUUAAGCAUUUUGGGCCGGUUGUUGGGCCCAACGAGUUAUUGUUGCUAGUGGGCUGGGUCGUUACAAGUCUAACGGAGCCGAUCGUCGAUUUGAAAGCCGUAUCAUCGAAAACAACUUGGUAGCACGGAGCGCUCCGUGUUACCGAUAGUAUAGUAGCCUAGUUCUAUAUAUAUAUAUAUAUAUAUAUAUAGAACUAGGCUACUAUACUAUCAAUAGUACCAACCCCUUGGUACUAUUGAGUUUUCGGCCGUUGGACGAAAGGAUGUGCGGUUAGGAUAAUAGUGAUCCCUGGUUAAAUUGAUAGUGGUCCCUAGGGUUGAGUGGGUGGUUGGUUUAAUAGUAUAAUCUAACGGGUGGAAAUGAUCAAGGGGUAGAUCUAACGGUAGAAAACUCAAUAAUACCAAAGGUUUUGUACUAUCGAUAGUAUAGUAGCC